CUUUCUCAAGCACCUGCAGGGUGAGGACUGGUAGGUAGACUGUAUCAACAAUCCAGCCCAGCCUCCGAGCUACCAGCCCAUGGAGGAGGACAGAUGUAAUUAAGGUUCCAAAUCAGUUGGCCUUAAGAUGGGGAGAUGCUUGUAUGCUCGAUCUCUGGGUCUAGAAGUGAGAAACCUGGAAGCCAGAGAAACGUGAAGUAUGAGACAGGCUGAAUGUGAGGAAAAUGGCAGGAGCCAUGCGGCCUUUGAUGUGGGUGGCCUCUAGGAGUUGAGAGCAGCCUCACUGACAGCCAACAAGGAAAGAGGGGCCUUGGUCUGCAAACAGCAAGAAACUGGAUUCUGCCAACCACCUGAAAGAACUUGGAAACAGACUCUUUCCUAGAGCCUCCUGUGAUCUUCUUCUCAAAACAUAGAACCCCAGUCCAACCAGAGAGUAUCAGACAAACCAACACUGAGGAAUGUUCUACAAAAUACCUGACCAGUGUUUCUCAAAACCCUCAAAGUCAGCAAAAACAAGGACAACCUGAGAAUCUAUUGCAGUUAGGGAAAGAUGAUGGCUAAAUUUAAUAGGUUAAACUGGAUGGAUCCUGGAACAGAAAAGGGGAAUUAGCAACAAACUACUGACAUCCAAAUAAACAAUAGAGUUCAGUUAAUAGUGUGCAAACAUUGGUCCCUUGGUUAUAAUAAAUGUACGGUAGUAAGGUAAGAUGUUAACAAUGGAGGGAACUGGGUCUAUGCAACUUUCUGUAAAUCUAAAACUAUUCUAAAAUAAAAGAUUUAUUUAAAAA
RNAcentral lists this long non-coding RNA (788 nucleotides) under Homo sapiens (human). RNAcentral's name for it is "HSALNT0205508". The record is from RNAcentral. Lineage: Eukaryota; Metazoa; Chordata; Mammalia; Primates; Hominidae.